This 504-nucleotide ribosomal RNA is filed under the name uncultured bacterium. Its description in RNAcentral is "bacterial SSU rRNA". It matches the Rfam family "Bacterial small subunit ribosomal RNA", at positions 28 to 524 of the family's 1533-position model. The record is from RNAcentral.
GACGAACGCUGGCGGCGUGGAUUAGGCAUGCAAGUCGAACGGUAUCAUCCUUUCGGGGGUGAGAGAGUGGCGAACUGGUGAGUAACACGUAGGUUAUCUACCCUCAAGACGGGGACAACCCAGGGAAACUUGGGCUAAUACCGGAUGUGAGCAACUUUUAGUUGUUUGAAAGGUGGCGUAAGCUGUCGCUUGGGGAUGAGCCUGCGUCCUAUUAGUUAGUUGGUGAGGUAACGGCUCACCUAGGCAAUGAUAGGUAGGCGGCCUUAACGGGUGGUCGCCCACACUGGGAUUGGGAUACGGCCCAGACUCCUACGGGAGGCAGCAGUCGAGAAUAGUCUACAAUGGUCGGAAGACUGAUAGUGCGACGCCGCGUGAACGAUGAAUCCCUUCGGGGUGUAAAGUUCUUUUAUAUGUGAGCAGUGCUUCUUAUAUUAACAGUAUGGGGAAGAGAUAUUAGCAUAUGAAUAAGCAACGGCUAAACUCCGUGCCAGCAGCCGCGGUAAU